GAUGAACGCUAGCGGCAGGCCUAAUACAUGCAAGCCGAACGGCAAGUUUGAUAGCAAUAUUGGACCUAGAGUGGCGCAAGGGUGCGUAACACGUAUGCAACCUGCCCGCGACAGGAGGAUAGCUCCCCGAAAGGGGAAUUAACCCUCCAUAACAACAUGAAAAGGCAUGUGUUUAUGGUAAAAGCGAGGGGGCUCGCAGAUGGGCGUGCGGUUGAUUAGCGAGUUGGCGGGGUAAAGGCCCACCAAGGCGGUGAUCAAUAGGGGUUCUGAGAGGAAGGUCCCCCACACUGGCACUGAGAUACGGGCCAGACUCCUACGGGAGGCAGCAGUAGGGAAUAUUGGACAAUGGUUGCAAGACUGAUCCAGCCAUGCCGCGUGCAGGAAGAAGGCCUUCUGGGUCGUAAACUGCUUUUUCCUGUGGAUAAAAUACCCGGGCGCGGGGAAUUGAAGGUAACAGGGGAAUAAGCCACGGCUAACUACGUG
RNAcentral lists this ribosomal RNA (483 nucleotides) under uncultured bacterium. Its description in RNAcentral is "partial 16S ribosomal RNA". It matches the Rfam family "Bacterial small subunit ribosomal RNA", at positions 28 to 507 of the family's 1533-position model. The record is from RNAcentral.